This 82-nucleotide transfer RNA is filed under the name Stylonychia lemnae. RNAcentral's name for it is "tRNA-Tyr". It matches the Rfam family "tRNA". Rfam says of the family: Transfer RNA (tRNA) molecules are approximately 80 nucleotides in length. Their secondary structure includes four short double-helical elements and three loops (D, anti-codon, and T loops). Further hydrogen bonds mediate the characteristic L-shaped molecular structure. tRNAs have two regions of fundamental functional importance: the anti-codon, which is responsible for specific mRNA codon recognition, and the 3' end, to which the tRNAs corresponding amino acid is attached (by aminoacyl-tRNA synthetases). tRNAs cope with the degeneracy of the genetic code in two manners: having more than one tRNA (with a specific anti-codon) for a particular amino acid; and 'wobble' base-pairing, i.e. permitting non-standard base-pairing at the 3rd anti-codon position. Lineage: Eukaryota; Ciliophora; Spirotrichea; Sporadotrichida; Oxytrichidae. The record is from RNAcentral.
GAAGAAGUGGCCGAGCGGUCGAUGGCGACAGACUGUAAAUCUGUUAGUUUUACUCACGUUGGUUCGAAUCCAACCUUUUUCA